Molecule: long non-coding RNA, 1673 nt
Filed under: Marmota monax (woodchuck)
Lineage: Eukaryota; Metazoa; Chordata; Mammalia; Rodentia; Sciuridae
Source: RNAcentral
UGGAGGCGGCGGGACCCAGGGGAAGGGCUCACGGCCGCGCACUUUGGUCCCUUCCUCUCUCUUGUCCCCAGCAGGGCGCACCUCCACUCCCAGGCUGAUGUCCCUGGCACCCAGAGGACGCAGGGACCCCGGGGCCAGGAUGCGCCAGCGCUUCUCCUGCAGCUCAGGGGAACAGCACCCCUAGCAGCACCCAGACCCCCGGCAGAGGUUGCCCCGGCCACGCGCAGCGACGCGCCUGGGAGCUAGAAAACCAGCCGGGAACUCGGAGAUUCGAGUCGCUGUGGCGCCGGGGUAGAUCCGCGCCGGCUCCCAUUGACCCCUUCCGAGUAGACGCGCCCUCGAUUGCCUCGGUGAAGCCCUUGGACCCUGGAUGGGGUAGAGCCUGCUUCCUUACUGGCUCCCAGUCCUGUACUCUUUACACCUGCCCUUGGAGAACGACGGGUUUUUAGGCCUGAGUCAAGCCUCCCUUGAUUAAUACGAGCCGUCGUUCAUCUUAUUUUAAGUCUGUGUUAUACACUGUUUUGUUGUGCCAUGAAGAACCACAAGAAGCUGCGAAAAGUUCUUCAUCUGCGUUGAGAGAAGCAAUGACAAACUCAUGGUCCAAACCAGAAGAGUCAGAGCAUCAAGCUGAAGGGUAGGAUGAAGCCAAACAAAACGGUUAUCACUUUAAUAAGAGUUCAGGUUAUUCGAUUCGCUUUGUUCGAGGUAGUAAAAUGGAGAUAUACUAUCAAGAAAGCCCAACCCGUCAGUUAUUAAUUUUGUGACCUUGUGCAAAUUUUUAGCCUCUCCAUGCCUCAGUUUUCUAAUCUACAAAAUGGGGAUAACGAUGGAAUUACAAAAUAGUGCCUCCACGCCUAUUGUGAGGAUUAGGUGAGUCAGCAAAUCUCAAGAGCUUCAGCCUGCCUGGCUCUUGGUAAGCACUGCAUAAGAGUCAGGAUUAUCAUAAAUUGGUCACACCAAAGAAGCAAACACAUUCCAUUGCUAGCACACGGAUUAAGUCUAAGUAAUGCCACAUAGCAACUAUUGUGACAAAGAUUUCUGUCAUUUUUUUAAAAAAAUUCAGACCUGCAUCUUUUCAUGAGAAAACUUGAUUUCUGAGCCUCUUAGGCGGGCUGUGCAGAUGAACUUAUUCAAAAUGAUACUAUGUUGUUUUUUGUCUUUUUAGAAGAGGUAACUUCUUUAAAAGUAUUCACGGAACAGGACUGCCUCUGAACCCUCUGCUGUGUUCACAAACCCACCUCAAAAGCAAAUAAAAGGACAAUUUACUGUCAGAGAGGACCAGUUAUCUUUGACAAACACCUCAGAGCUCAUUAAAAAUGCUUGAGGUAGAAAGUAUUUAUAUGAUCUCCUGAAUGGCAGUGAUUUUUUUUCAGCAUUUAGAUUUUCACAACUGAAAAUCAUAAAAUACAGUUUAAAUAUCUUAUUCUCCUUCUUAAAUGAUGAGCAUAAAAUUCAGAGGCAGAAUAGUAGUGAGGUGUGAUAUUUAUAGCUGAUUAUAGUGAAUGUUUUAACUAUAAAUUCCAUAAUCUCUUACCAAACCAGUCUCCUACCCCAGUGACUGACAUAGUUGGUACAAAUUAAAUGUUUACUGAAAGUAUGAAUAAAACAAAUGAAUACAUUAAAACCAGUAGGAAAUGUGCUGUGUUGUUUUCUGAAUUAUAUUUUCCUUCCUG